UGCUAAAUGUUGAGCCGCUGACAUGAUCUGAUCUGAUCGCGGACGGGGGUCACAGAACGCCCGGGAUAAAUUGACUACCGAUGAAACAUUUAAUUAAAAGGUUAGUAUAAAUUUACACAUUUAUAAAUUUUCUGGUGUGCUCCCUUGAACUGUGUUAGUAUUCUAGAAAAAGUGCUGUAGAGUAGUUUAACUAACCAAGAGAACAUUAUAUUUGCUGUGUUCGUGUAAUGUACUCAGGUGAAUAAGAUGCUUGUGAUGUUACUCUGAGUGUAUAUCCACACCGCGCAGACCUGAAAAUUUAUGCCUGCAUGGCCACGGUGGGAAUCGAGCCUACGACCUUUGGAA
Paramuricea clavata is the source of this 345-nucleotide non-coding RNA. The record is from the annotation of a GenBank genome assembly. Lineage: Eukaryota; Metazoa; Cnidaria; Anthozoa; Malacalcyonacea; Plexauridae.